GCAUGUGCUGUGAGCUCGAUGAGUAGGGCGGGACACGUGGUAUCCUGUCUGAAUAUGGGGGGACCAUCCUCCAAGGCUAAAUACUCCUGACUGACCGAUAGUGAACCAGUACCGUGAGGGAAAGGCGAAAAGAACCCCGGCGAGGGGAGUGAAAAAGAACCUGAAACCGUGUACGUACAAGCAGUGGGAGCACCCUUUGGGGUGUGACUGCGUACCUUUUGUAUAAUGGGUCAGCGACUUAUAUUCUGUAGCAAGGUUAACCGAAUAGGGGAGCCGGAGGGAAACCGAGUCUUAACCGGGCGUUAAGUUGCAGGGUAUAGACCCGAAACCCGGUGAUCUAGCCAUGGGCAGGUUGAAGGUUGGGUAACACUAACUGGAGGACCGAACCGACUAAUGUUGAAAAAUUAGCGGAUGACCUGUGGCUGGGGGUGAAAGGCCAAUCAAACCGGGAGAUAGCUGGUUCUCCCCGAAAGCUAUUUAGGUAGCGCCUCGUGAAUUCAUCUCCGGGGGUAGAGCACUGUUUCGGCUAGGGGGCCAUCCCGGCUUACCAACCCGAUGCAAACUGCGAAUACCGGAGAAUGUUAUCACGGGAGACACACGGCGGGUGCUAACGUCCGUCGUGAAGAGGGAAACAACCCAGACCGCCAGCUAAGGUCCCAAAGUCAUGGUUAAGUGGGAAACGAUGUGGGAAGGCCCAGACAGCCAGGAUGUUGGCUUAGAAGCAGCCAUCAUUUAAAGAAAGCGUAAUAGCUCACUGGUCGAGUCGGCCUGCGCGGAAGAUGUAACGGGGCUAAACCAUGCACCGAAGCUGCGGCAGCGACGCUGAUGCGUUGUUGGGUAGGGGAGCGUUCUGUAAGCCUGCGAAGGUGUGUCGUGAGGCAUGCUGGAGGUAUCAGAAGUGCGAAUGCUGACAUAAGUAACGAUAAAGCGGGUGAAAAGCCCGCUCGCCGGAAGACCAAGGGUUCCUGUCCAACGUUAAUCGGGGCAGGGUGAGUCGACCCCUAAGGCGAGGCCGAAAGGCGUAGUCGAUGGGAAACGGGUUAAUAUUCCCGUACUUGGUGUUACUGCGAAGGGGGGACGGAGAAGGCUAUGUUGGCCGGGCGACGGUUGUCCCGGUUUAAGCGUGUAGGUGUGUGUUCCAGGUAAAUCCGGUUCACUUUAACACUGAGGCGUGAUGACGAGGCACUACGGUGCUGAAGCAACAAAUGCCCUGCUUCCAGGAAAAGCCUCUAAGCAUCAGGUAACAUCAAAUCGUACCCCAAACCGACACAGGUGGUCAGGUAGAGAAUACCAAGGCGCUUGAGAGAACUCGGGUGAAGGAACUAGGCAAAAUGGUGCCGUAACUUCGGGAGAAGGCACGCUGACACGUAGGUGAAGUGAUUUACUCAUGGAGCUGAAGUCAGUCGAAGAUACCAGCUGGCUGCAACUGUUUAUUAAAAACACAGCACUGUGCAAACACGAAAGUGGACGUAUACGGUGUGACGCCUGCCCGGUGCCGGAAGGUUAAUUGAUGGGGUCAGCGCAAGCGAAGCUCCUGAUCGAAGCCCCGGUAAACGGCGGCCGUAACUAUAACGGUCCUAAGGUAGCGAAAUUCCUUGUCGGGUAAGUUCCGACCUGCACGAAUGGCGUAAUGAUGGCCAGGCUGUCUCCACCCGAGACUCAGUGAAAUUGAACUCGCUGUGAAGAUGCAGUGUACCCGCGGCAAGACGGAAAGACCCCGUGAACCUUUACUAUAGCUUGACACUGAACAUUGAGCCUUGAUGUGUAGGAUAGGUGGGAGGCUUUGAAGUGUGGACGCCAGUCUGCAUGGAGCCGGCCUUGAAAUACCACCCUUUAAUGUUUGAUGUUCUAACGUGGACCCGUGAUCCGGGUUGCGGACAGUGUCUGGUGGGUAGUUUGACUGGGGCGGUCUCCUCCUAAAGAGUAACGGAGGAGCACGAAGGUUGGCUAAUCCUGGUCGGACAUCAGGAGGUUAGUGCAAUGGCAUAAGCCAGCUUGACUGCGAGCGUGACGGCGCGAGCAGGUGCGAAAGCAGGUCAUAGUGAUCCGGUGGUUCUGAAUGGAAGGGCCAUCGCUCAACGGAUAAAAGGUACUCCGGGGAUAACAGGCUGAUACCGCCCAAGAGUUCAUAUCGACGGCGGUGUUUGGCACCUCGAUGUCGGCUCAUCACAUCCUGGGGCUGAAGUAGGUCCCAAGGGUAUGGCUGUUCGCCAUUUAAAGUGGUACGCGAGCUGGGUUUAGAACGUCGUGAGACAGUUCGGUCCCUAUCUGCCGUGGGCGCUGGAGAACUGAGGGGGGCUGCUCCUAGUACGAGAGGACCGGAGUGGACGCAUCACUGGUGUUCGGGUUGUCAUGCCAAUGGCACUGCCCGGUAGCUAAAUGCGGAAGAGAUAAGUGCUGAAAGCAUCUAAGCACGAAACUUGCCCCGAGAUGAGUUCUCCCUGAGACUUAGAGUCUCCUGAAGGAACGUUGAAGACGACGACGUUGAUAGGCCGGGUGUGUAAGCGCAGCGAUGCGUUGAGCUAACCGGUACUAAUGAACCGUGAGGCUUAACCUU
This 2557-nucleotide ribosomal RNA is filed under the name Salmonella enterica subsp. enterica serovar Johannesburg. RNAcentral's name for it is "partial 23S ribosomal RNA". It matches the Rfam family "Bacterial large subunit ribosomal RNA", at positions 390 to 2925 of the family's 2925-position model. Lineage: Bacteria; Pseudomonadati; Pseudomonadota; Gammaproteobacteria; Enterobacterales; Enterobacteriaceae. The record is from RNAcentral.